GAUGAACGCUGGCGGCGUGCCUAAUACAUGCAAGUCGAGCGAACGGACGAGAAGCUUGCUUCUCUGAUGUUAGCGGCGGACGGGUGAGUAACACGUGGAUAACCUACCUAUAAGACUGGGAUAACUUCGGGAAACCGGAGCUAAUACCGGAUAAUAUUUUGAACCGCAUGGUUCAAAAGUGAAAGACGGUCUUGCUGUCACUUAUAGAUGGAUCCGCGCUGCAUUAGCUAGUUGGUAAGGUAACGGCUUACCAAGGCAACGAUGCAUAGCCGACCUGAGAGGGUGAUCGGCCACACUGGAACUGAGACACGGUCCAGACUCCUACGGGAGGCAGCAGUAGGGAAUCUUCCGCAAUGGGAGAAAGCCUGACGGAGCAACGCCGCGUGAGUGAUGAAGGUCUUCGGAUCGUAAAACUCUGUUAUUAGGGAAGAACAUAUGUGUAAGUAACUGUGAACAUCUUGACGGUACCUAAUCAGAAAGCCACGGCUAACUACGUG
This 497-nucleotide ribosomal RNA is filed under the name uncultured bacterium. RNAcentral's name for it is "partial 16S ribosomal RNA". It matches the Rfam family "Bacterial small subunit ribosomal RNA", at positions 28 to 507 of the family's 1533-position model. The record is from RNAcentral.